UAUGGAGAAUGUAAAAAAUCCACAUAAAUGUCAUUCAUGUUUGACUUGUUCUUACAUAAAAGAAUGAUAGAGGAACUAAAUACAGGAAUCUACAAGAUGUUGUAGGUUUUACCUAGUCAAAAUGUCUCUUAUUUCCAUCUCACCAAUGCAAGCUAAGGCUUGACUCUUUCACAGAUAAACUGUCAGAUCUUCAUGCUACAACUACAGAUGCACCGUAGAUGAAAACCAGACACUAAUGAGUAUGCUCUGGGAUUUUCAUCAGUUGUUUUAACUGUCCUUUACAGGUUUCCCAAGUAAAACUGUGGCUAGUGAAAUGAGAUACUGGAUCAAACCCUGAGUGCAGCACAGCCUGGUCCAAGGGAGCCAGAGAAAACUAACAUCUGAGAGUCUGAGCCUGAGGAUUUCAACAGGAUUAGCAAAGGCUGAUGAGGAAAAGGGAGGAGGAGAUGCAGAUGAAAGACUUCAACCCACUUGAACCCUCUUCUGAGGAAUCUCUACUGAAGGAACACAGAAGUACUCUCCAUCCUUCCUGGCCUUAGAAUACGUUGUAAGCUUUAAGAUCCAGCUCAGCUAAUCAAGUUCUCUUUUGAGACAUGGAAGAUGUGGAAGACACAAUAGAGCCAUCAAGCCAUACCAAGCUAGCUUGGUAUAAGAAGGAUGGUGAGCCCAAGGCUCCCAUCUACUUGGUCAUCUGUAACCACUAAGAUGCUAGUGGUUGCAGUUGUGUUCUGCUUGUGAUGAUUAGAUGAAGUCCUCCACCAUUUUCUCUUUGUUACUAAUGAGAAUUAUAAAGAUUAGGGAAAUAAAGAUAAAUAUACAUGCCUCA
RNAcentral lists this long non-coding RNA (826 nucleotides) under Phasianus colchicus (ring-necked pheasant). Its description in RNAcentral is "lncRNA (ENSPCLG00000015914.1)". The record is from RNAcentral. Lineage: Eukaryota; Metazoa; Chordata; Aves; Galliformes; Phasianidae.